GACAGAGGGUGCAAACGUUGUUCGGAUUUACUGGGCGUAAAGCGCGUGUAGGCGGCUUGGCAAGUCGGAUGUGAAAGCCCACGGCUCAACCGUGGAAGCGCAUCCGAAACGGCCUCGCUCGAGUCUCGGAGAGGAAGGUGGAAUGCUUGGUGUAGAGGUGAAAUUCGUAGAUAUCAAGCAGAACACCUGCGGCGAAGGCGGCCUUCUGGACGAUGACCGACGCUGAGACGCGAAAGCGUGGGGAGCAAACAGG
RNAcentral lists this ribosomal RNA (253 nucleotides) under uncultured bacterium. Its description in RNAcentral is "partial 16S ribosomal RNA". It matches the Rfam family "Bacterial small subunit ribosomal RNA", at positions 524 to 776 of the family's 1533-position model. The record is from RNAcentral.